AGUGAACGCUGGCGGUAGGCCUAACACAUGCAAGUCGAACGGCAGCGCAGUAAGAGCUUGCUCUUACGGGUGGCGAGUGGCGGACGGGUGAGGAAUACAUCGGAAUCUACUUUUUCGUGGGGGAUAACGUAGGGAAACUUACGCUAAUACCGCAUACGACCUACGGGUGAAAGCAGGGGAUCUUCGGACCUUGCGCGAUUGAAUGAGCCGAUGUCGGAUUAGCUAGUUGGCGGGGUAAAGGCCCACCAAGGCGACGAUCCGUAGCUGGUCUGAGAGGAUGAUCAGCCGCACUGGAACUGAGACACGGUCCAGACUCCUACGGGAGGCAGCAGUGGGGAAUAUUGGACAAUGGGCGCAAGCCUGAUCCAGCCAUACCGCGUGGGUGAAGAAGGCCUUCGGGUUGUAAAGCCCUUUUGUUGGGAAAGAAAAGCAGCAGGUUAAUACCCCGCUGUUCUGACGGUACCCAAAGAAUAAGCACCGGCUAACUUCGUG
RNAcentral lists this ribosomal RNA (492 nucleotides) under uncultured bacterium. Its description in RNAcentral is "partial 16S ribosomal RNA". It matches the Rfam family "Bacterial small subunit ribosomal RNA", at positions 29 to 507 of the family's 1533-position model. The record is from RNAcentral.